CUCACAUUAGAUGGAGCGGCGUUAUACUAUUGUCAGAACUGUCUGCAAAUAUGUUGAUCACCUACCGAAUGUUUUUUGAUCGGCUGAUCAACUCUCAGAUUAAUUGGACACCAUACACGUCCCACAUUAUGGCAUUGCUUCCACGUCAAUGUUAUAACGGUCAAGCGAUGUGGACAUAUGUGGGUCCUAUGGUUUGCUUUCAUCUCGUUGAGAAGCAUAAGCAGAUCAUGUAUUGCGACAGUUCCAUAUGCUACAAAUGCCACCAGAGUUUUGCUCCACAGAUCAGGACCUACACCAAAUUGAUUUAAGAGGCAAGCACGAUCAAGAUUGGAGUAGGAUUCAUGCAGAGCAUAUAACAAUGUGGCAUUCACAAAAUAAUUUUUGUGCCGAAGCAGAAGCAACACAGAAGCCGACAGUAUCAGAUAACUACUUUUCCUGGUACACAUCGAUUACCCGACGCUUCAUGACACGUGAUGGCGCUUCCUGUUAUCACAUGGUAAUAGUUUUAAUAUGAUUUAUAAAUUUAAUACAAGCAUGAACAUUUUUUAAUUAUAUUAUUUACAAUCGUUCAGAAUAAUUUUGUUGAAGACGUACGUCGAGUCUCCAUGGAAAACAAUUUUGAAAUUUUUAGUCCAAUGUGUGACGAAGUCAUGGGAGAUAUAGACAGCCUUGUUCAGCGGACUCGACGUUUAAAUGUUGUCGACACAGAUCGUAGACGCAUUCGACGGCGACGACGACGACAAGGCGAUGAUGUCGUAGAGGGAGAUGGGGAAGCUUCUUAAGUUGUAUAAUUUAAGUGUUUUUAAAUUUUGCUAGAACUUAUUCAAGUUGUAUAAAUAAAAAGUUGAACUUUUUAAAAUUAAUUAUAAAUUAGAAGUUGCUAAUACAUGAUUUAGAUGUAGGAGUAUUCUUAAUAAUAUCAAUAUAUAAUAUAUAUUUUUUAAAAGUA
Cucumis sativus (cucumber) is the source of this 949-nucleotide long non-coding RNA. RefSeq lists it as uncharacterized. Lineage: Eukaryota; Viridiplantae; Streptophyta; Magnoliopsida; Cucurbitales; Cucurbitaceae. The record is from RefSeq and is a predicted model, not a curated record. The transcript has 2 exons.